UAAGCAAGAGAGUACAACAGAAAUAAUUAUUAGGUUCAUAUCGGAGCUUUGACCAUACUCCGAUGAGGUUUACGAUACUUGUAAAU
Ipomoea nil (Japanese morning glory) is the source of this 86-nucleotide long non-coding RNA. RefSeq lists it as uncharacterized. The record is from RefSeq and is a predicted model, not a curated record. The transcript has 3 exons. Lineage: Eukaryota; Viridiplantae; Streptophyta; Magnoliopsida; Solanales; Convolvulaceae.